UACGUAGGGUCCGAGCGUUGUCCGGAGUUACUGGGCGUAAAGCGCGCGCAGGCGGCGGUGCUGGCCCGGCGUGAAAGCCCCCGGCUCAACCGGGGAGGGUCGUCGGGGACCGCACCGCUUGAGGGCGGUAGGGGCUGGUGGAAUGCCUGGUGUAGUGGUGAAAUGCGUAGAGAUCAGGCGGAACACCCGUAGCGAAGGCGGCCAGCUGGGCCGUCCCUGACGCUGAGGCGCGAAGGCGUGGGGAGCGAACGGG
RNAcentral lists this ribosomal RNA (253 nucleotides) under uncultured bacterium. Its description in RNAcentral is "partial 16S ribosomal RNA". It matches the Rfam family "Bacterial small subunit ribosomal RNA", at positions 524 to 776 of the family's 1533-position model. The record is from RNAcentral.